UGUGUGAUUAUGAAAUAGGAGUUUGACUCAAUGGUAGUCGCAACAAAAAAUGGAAUCAAUGCACCAUCGUCUCCGAGGAAAAAUAUGUGUCUUAAUUUGAUUGAACCUCAUGUUAAGGAUAAAGCAUCUUCUGAAGAAUUGAAUAUGAUUUUGACUCAAUAUGUAGACACAUUAUCCCAGAGGAUGAAAUAUCAUAUAGGUUAUCCAAUUAACCUUUAUUAUGAGCAUCAUGCUGCUUUAGCCCCACUCUUGCAAUUUCAUUUGAACAAUUUUGGAGACCCCUUUACUCAGCACCCUACAGAUUUCCAUUCAAAAGAUUAUGAAGUGGCUGUUUUAGUUUGGUUUGCACAACUCUGGGAAAUUGAGAAAGAUGAAUAUUGGGGAUACAUUACUAGUGGUGGCACUGAGGGCAAUCUCCAUGGUCUUUUGGUUGGAAGAGAGCUACUUCCCGAUGGAAUAAUAUAUGCAUCAACAGACUCACAUUACUCGAUCUUCAAAGCAGCAAGAAUGUAUCGAAUGGAACUAGAAACUAUUAACAGUUUAGUUAAUGGGGAAAUUGAUUAUGAAGAUUUGCGAUCAAAGUUACUUGUCAACAAGAACAAACCAGCCAUCAUCAAUAUCAAUUUUGGAACUACCUACAAAGGAGCAAUUGAUGAUGUUGAUAUGAUCCUACAAAUACUUGAAAAUUGUGGUUAUUCCAAUGAUAGGUUUUACAUCCAUUGUGAUGCUGCACUAUAUGGGUUAAUUGUCCCCUUCAUCAACCAUGCGAAAAUAAUUACCUUCAAGAAGUCAAUAGGCAGUAUUUCAGUUUCAGGCCACAAAUUUUUGGGAUGUUCCAUGCCUUGUGGAGUUCAAAUAACAAGGAAAACUUACAUUACUACUAUCUCAAGAAAAGUUGAGUAUAUUGCCUCAAUAGAUAAUACAAUUUCUGGAAGUCGAAAUGGUUUGGCACCAAUAUUCUUAUGGUACAGUUUAAGCAUGAAAGGUCAUGUCGGAUUGCAACAAGAUGCCAAAAUGUGCUAUGAAAAUGCUCGGUAUUUGAAGGACCGGCUUCAUAAAGCAGGAAUUAGUGCUAUGCUCAAUGAGUUUAGCAAUAUCGUGGUGUUUGAACGACCUUGUGACGAUAAGUUCAUUCGUCGUUGGCAACUAUCUUGCACAAGAGAUAUGGCACAUGUUGUGGUUAUGCCAGGCACAACAAAAGAAAUCAUAGACAAUUUUUUCAAGGAUUUAAUGCAAGAGAGGGGAAAAUGGUGUGGAAUAACUUUGGCUCCUUGUCUAGCAGAUGAUAUAGGUUCUCAAAAUUGUCUAUGCUCCUAUCACAACAUGCAUCACUAAAAUUCCUUUGGAAUGAUCUUGAUUAUGGAGUAUGUUGGAGUGACUCAAAAUUGUUAUUAGAGUUUGAAAAUAAAUUUUCAUGUAUCUUUUUAUUUGAUUUUUUAAAAUUUAUAUUUUGAAAUGAGAAGUGUCUCAUUAUCAUCUUGUUUGCAACAAAUUUUGAAUAUGUGGAAAGUAAAUCAAUCAUAAAUAAAAUCUGAAGAAACAAGAAUAUUAUUGAUAG
This is an RNA transcript of Solanum verrucosum, 1558 nucleotides long. It is a transcript of the gene named histidine decarboxylase-like, with no coding region annotated. The record is from RefSeq and is a predicted model, not a curated record. The transcript has 5 exons. Lineage: Eukaryota; Viridiplantae; Streptophyta; Magnoliopsida; Solanales; Solanaceae.